Molecule: ribosomal RNA, 459 nt
Filed under: uncultured bacterium
Lineage: Bacteria
Description: partial 16S ribosomal RNA
Rfam family: Bacterial small subunit ribosomal RNA
Source: RNAcentral
CCUACGGGUGGCAGCAGUGAGGAAUAUUGGUCAAUGGCCGGAAGGCUGAACCAGCCAAGCCGCGUGAAGGACGAAGGUGCCAAGCAUUGUAAACUUCUUUUGUCAAGGGACAAAAUCAGGCUCGAGAGCCUGACCGAGGGUACUUGAAGAAAAAGCAUCGGCUACCUCCGUGCCAGCAGCCGCGGUAAUCCGGAGGAUGCGAGCGUUAUCCGGAUUUAUUGGGUUAAAGGGGUGCGUAGGCGGACUGUUAAGUCAGCGGUAAAAGCCCGGGGCUCAACCCCGGCGAGCCGUUGAAACUGGCUGUCUUGAGAUGUCGAGAGGUAUGCGGAAUGCGCAGUGUAGCGGUGAAAUGCUUAGAUAUUGCGCAGAACUCCGAUUGCGAAGGCAGCAUACCGGCGGCGAUCUGACGCUGAGGCACGAAAGCGUGGGUAGCGAACAGGAUUAGAUACCCCUGUAGUC